UGCAGUAAUUGUGCACCAUGUAGGCGUUU
This 29-nucleotide non-coding RNA is filed under the name Rattus norvegicus (Norway rat). The record is from RNAcentral. Lineage: Eukaryota; Metazoa; Chordata; Mammalia; Rodentia; Muridae.